RNAcentral lists this long non-coding RNA (245 nucleotides) under Lathyrus oleraceus (garden pea). RNAcentral describes it as "Pisum sativum (pea) long non-coding RNA (PSAT_LNC016436)". The record is from RNAcentral. Lineage: Eukaryota; Viridiplantae; Streptophyta; Magnoliopsida; Fabales; Fabaceae.
ACAAGAUGCACAGACAAAUAUAUACAAUCACAAUAUAUGGCUCAAGUGAGCAAAGUAAAAAUGACAUAAACACAAAACAAGUUAAAUGAUAUGUAAAAAGGCAAAUGAAAUUAUAAAUGGCUUGAAUUUAAAUUGCAUAAAUUAAAUUACUUGAAAUUAAAAGCAAGAAUAAUAAGAGUUAGUCAAAUGUUAGUUGAUUAGAUGUUAGUGGAGUUUUGCUUUUCAAUUGAUUAAGCCAUUCUUUG